GUUUGAAAGAAGCAUGCAACACAGAACAGCAUUGGCAACAUGAAUGUUUUAAAACCAAGUUAAUUUAGGAAAGUUUACACGCUAAUCUAUGGAAUACAAUGUUUCUGUAAUUUGCUAUAUGUGAAAUUUAAACAUCCACAAUUGCCUGUAGUCAUGCAUGUUCAGAAAUCUUUCAUAUCUGGAACAAAACUUGGCUACCACGAAAUGAUCUAUGCUACAAAAAACAGCAAUGACUAAUGAAUAAGCCUCCAGGCCUGCUGCAGGAUUUCAUCAUUUAAGUAAGGAUGCAAUGACCACAUAAGGCAAUAACUCUCCAUCUCCCCAGACAAAGAUUUGAGAUUUAGUGAAGUAACAAUCCUUUCCUGCAUCAUGUAGUCUUGCUUUACCAUUCCGUAAAUGAUCCCCAUAAGGGCAGCAUAAUCUGUCAUUCCAAGUUCCUGAAGAUCUGCUGAAGAUGUUUCUUCCUGGUUAACAGUUGCUUGUUGAUCAAAUUUUUCACAUAGAUCUUCAUCCCUCAAAAGUGAGAAACUUCCAUUGGCAGUUUUAAUUGCAGUAGUUAAAUCCUCCAGAAGAUUUUCAAGUUCAUUUAGUAUGGUUUUUGCUUUAGUUAAAUGAUCAUGAAGUCCGAGUAGGCAUGUAUGCAACUUGCUUAUGUUUUGUAUGCUAUCAUGAUUGGUGAUAAAACCAGCUGCCAUAUAUGAUUUAAACCUCUCUGUCUCAUUGGCUCGGAUGAUAUUCUCUAUUAACUCAGAUUUCCUGUUUAUUGGAGGCCGCCGAAGAAAUUCAAGCCCUUGCUGAAACCCACCAAGUAAUCUACUUCCAACAGCCCCAAGUUCCUCAAAAUUUGCGACCCUACAAGUAAAAGGAAAAUUCCACUUUAAAUCGGUUCCAGAACUGUGCGGGCGCUGAGCAUUUUCUUCUUGCAGUUACCUCGUCAAAAAAUCUUUGAAAAUCUGAAAAAUCUUCUCUUUUAAUUCAGCUUUAAACAGCCCUUCUUUGCUUCCCAUGCUUUUCCUUUGUCGUUUUGUAUUAUAACGCCAAGCUUUUGAUGGGCCAAAACCCAAAACCCAAAAGAGGCGCAGCUGCAGGAAGGAUUAGGAAGC
This 1103-nucleotide unclassified non-coding RNA is filed under the name Hevea brasiliensis (rubber tree). Lineage: Eukaryota; Viridiplantae; Streptophyta; Magnoliopsida; Malpighiales; Euphorbiaceae. The record is from RNAcentral.